This 512-nucleotide ribosomal RNA is filed under the name Shigella sonnei. Its description in RNAcentral is "partial 23S ribosomal RNA". It matches the Rfam family "Bacterial large subunit ribosomal RNA", at positions 1233 to 1746 of the family's 2925-position model. Lineage: Bacteria; Pseudomonadati; Pseudomonadota; Gammaproteobacteria; Enterobacterales; Enterobacteriaceae. The record is from RNAcentral.
GGAGCGUUCUGUAAGCCUGCGAAGGUGUGCUGUGAGGCAUGCUGGAGGUAUCAGAAGUGCGAAUGCUGACAUAAGUAACGAUAAAGCGGGUGAAAAGCCCGCUCGCCGGAAGACCAAGGGUUCCUGUCCAACGUUAAUCGGGGCAGGGUGAGUCGACCCCUAAGGCGAGGCCGAAAGGCGUAGUCGAUGGGAAACAGGUUAAUAUUCCUGUACUUGGUGUUACUGCGAAGGGGGGACGGAGAAGGCUAUGUUGGCCGGGCGACGGUUGUCCCGGUUUAAGCGUGUAGGCUGGUUUUCCAGGCAAAUCCGGAAAAUCAAGGCUGAGGCGUGAUGACGAGGCACUACGGUGCUGAAGCAACAAAUGCCCUGCUUCCAGGAAAAGCCUCUAAGCAUCAGGUAACAUCAAAUCGUACCCCAAACCGACACAGGUGGUCAGGUAGAGAAUACCAAGGCGCUUGAGAGAACUCGGGUGAAGGAACUAGGCAAAAUGGUGCCGUAACUUCGGGAGAAGG